CGCUCACCAGGGAGUCGGCCCUUCUCAGGAAGCCCGCCCUGGCCCCUUGGCUUGCGAACUGGGCAUUCACCACAGCAUCCUCAUUCACAGAUGGCUGAGAAAAUGAAAACAUUUGCUCCAUCGGUGAGCAUCUCAUCAUCCAGCAUUGGGACUGACUGGCUUCGAGACAUACUGGACAUACCAUGCUCUGGUCCCAGCAUCUUAUCCGGUCGUUCGUGGCUUCCUAAGUGAUCACUCCCAGAAGCAUAGUUUUCUAAUGGCACUGUGCUAGACUCAGGCAAUACAAGGAUGGACAAGAAAGAAAGCAUCCCUGCCUUCAUGAAACUCACAGUCUGAAGUCAAUAAACAAACAGCUGUUGCCACUUUACAGAAAGAAAAGUGUGGCUCAGACCAUAAUUUCAGGAAGAAGCAUGCAAUUUUUGGUAAUUCAAUGAAAUAUAAAGAUGAAUCAGAAGUCCGGUAUAGAAUGCAUCAUCCAUUGGUUCUGGAUUUAACAUACAAAAUCCGUAAAAGAACUGAAAUGUUCUGAAGCUUGAAUCUCUCUCAUGCAGUUAUUCUGUUGGAUGAAGUGGCAUUUCAAAUUUGCUCACUCAGAUUUGGGACAUUAGUCUCAUUCUGAAGCACACCAAUGCUUCCAGAACUACCAGCAUGCUGUAAUGAAAGGUACCGCCAUGAGACUUGAAGAAGUAUCUGACUUUGUCCCAAAAUCUAUCUGAAUAAGAAAAACGGACAAACAAAAAGAUAAGGAGAAGAAAGAGGAAACAAAAGCUAAAAGGUUCACCUUAACUUUCCCAGCAUUUUCGUCAUCUUCUUUUUUGUCUUCAAAUUCAAAGGCAACAGUCAUGCGUUGUUGUCUCUGCUCUUCCCACAGUGUAGGGUUAAAGCUGUCACUGUCUGACUGGAAAUCUACAGUUAGAUUCCAAAGUAUUAUUGUUUUUUUAAAAAACAAUUUUACACAAAGUAUUUAAUAUAGUAUGCAAAAAUGGUGAUAGAUACUACAAACAAAUACGGAAAUAAAGAAGAAAGAAAG
Molecule: long non-coding RNA, 1030 nt
Filed under: Homo sapiens (human)
Lineage: Eukaryota; Metazoa; Chordata; Mammalia; Primates; Hominidae
Description: long non-coding RNA NONHSAT151762.1
Source: RNAcentral